AAAAAAUGGGGUGCUGAAAAGAAGAUGACAUAAAUCUAGCUCCAAUCGAUAUUGAAAAGUCUGUCCGAAAGGAGGAUUUAAAAUUUUUCACAUGUGGAUCCGUCUCAAAAAAACAAUAUCUAAAAUCGGCCUCAAACAAAAGAAAGGAUACCAAUUUAUUACCAAUACACGAGGAGGGAGAAAAAUGUUAAUUAUGGGCCGUUUCCG
Molecule: long non-coding RNA, 207 nt
Filed under: Lathyrus oleraceus (garden pea)
Lineage: Eukaryota; Viridiplantae; Streptophyta; Magnoliopsida; Fabales; Fabaceae
Description: Pisum sativum (pea) long non-coding RNA (PSAT_LNC001309)
Source: RNAcentral